AUCGCUUCUCGGCCUUUUGGCUAAGAUCAAGUGUAAAAACUCCUGAUGCCAGGGCACAUCCCAGAUCAAUUAAAUCGGAUUUUUUUUUAAAGUAUCAUGCAUUAGUAUUUUUUCAAAUCUUCCAAAGUGAUUUCAUUGUGCAAACAAAAUCACAACUACU
This 160-nucleotide small nuclear RNA is filed under the name Ictidomys tridecemlineatus (thirteen-lined ground squirrel). Its description in RNAcentral is "Spermophilus tridecemlineatus (thirteen-lined ground squirrel) U2 spliceosomal RNA". It matches the Rfam family "U2 spliceosomal RNA". From Rfam's summary of the family: U2 is a small nuclear RNA (snRNA) component of the spliceosome (involved in pre-mRNA splicing). Complementary binding between U2 snRNA (in an area lying towards the 5' end but 3' to hairpin I) and the branchpoint sequence (BPS) of the intron results the bulging out of an unpaired adenosine, on the BPS, which initiates a nucleophilic attack at the intronic 5' splice site, thus starting the first of two transesterification reactions that mediate splicing. Lineage: Eukaryota; Metazoa; Chordata; Mammalia; Rodentia; Sciuridae. The record is from Rfam by way of RNAcentral.